GUGCAGCAGGCGAGAAACCUCCGCAAUACACGAAAGUGUGACGGGGUUACCCAAAGUGUCCAAAUUUGGACUGUGGUAGGUGAGUAAUGUCCCCUACUAGAAAGGAGAGGGCAAGGCUGGUGCCAGCCGCCGCGGUAAAACCAGCUCUUCAAGUGGUCGGGAUAAUUAUUGGGCUUAAAGUGUCCGUAGCCGGUUUAGUAAGUUCCUGGUAAAAUCGGGUAGCUUAACUAUCUGUAUGCUAGGAAUACUGCUAUACUAGAGGGCGGGAGAGGUCUGAGGUACUACAGGGGUAGGGGUGAAAUCCUGUAAUCCUUGUAGGACCACCAGUGGCGAAGGCGUCAGACUGGAACGCGCCUGACGGUGAGGGACGAAAGCCAGGGGAGCGAACCGGAUUAGAUACCCG
This 403-nucleotide ribosomal RNA is filed under the name uncultured microorganism. RNAcentral's name for it is "bacterial SSU rRNA". It matches the Rfam family "Archaeal small subunit ribosomal RNA", at positions 330 to 739 of the family's 1478-position model. The record is from RNAcentral.